AACCAUUCUCACCUGCGGCUAGACCUGCGGAAGGAUCAUUAUCGAAUAAAACUUGGUUUGGGGUUGUUGCUGGCUCCUUGGAGCAAUGUGCACGCCUUACACCAUUUUUUUCAACACCACCUGUGCACUUUGUGUAGACUCGGGAUAAUACUAAUAUCGUAGAUCUCUACGGAUUGAGAACUGCUGUGCACUUGAAGCUGGCUUUUCUUGCAUAUUCCAGUCUAUGUCUUUUUACAAACU
This 240-nucleotide unclassified non-coding RNA is filed under the name soil metagenome. Its description in RNAcentral is "partial contains 5.8S ribosomal RNA, internal transcribed spacer 2, and large subunit ribosomal RNA". The record is from RNAcentral.